UGCGUAGGUGGUUGUUUAAGUCUGUCGUGAAAGCCCUGGGCUCAACCUGGGAAUUGCGAUGGAUACUGGGCGACUAGAGUGUGGUAGAGGAUAGUGGAAUUUCCGGUGUAGCAGUGAAAUGCGUAGAGAUCGGAAGGAACAUCUGUGGCGAAGGCGACUAUCUGGGCCAACACUGACACUGAGGCACGAAAGCGUGGGGAGGCAAACA
RNAcentral lists this ribosomal RNA (208 nucleotides) under uncultured bacterium. Its description in RNAcentral is "partial 16S ribosomal RNA". It matches the Rfam family "Bacterial small subunit ribosomal RNA", at positions 568 to 774 of the family's 1533-position model. The record is from RNAcentral.